This 11618-nucleotide long non-coding RNA is filed under the name Homo sapiens (human). RNAcentral describes it as "HSALNT0343595". The record is from RNAcentral. Lineage: Eukaryota; Metazoa; Chordata; Mammalia; Primates; Hominidae.
CCUUGGGAUCUGCCUGCCUUGGCCUCCCAAAGUGCUGGGAUUACAGGCGUGAGCCACUGCACCUGGCAUAAUUUUGGCUACUCUUAAUCAACCCCAGAAGGUUUAAUAAGAACUUUGAUUAGCUACUUUCUAGCUUCAUGAAUUUACCAAGCUAUUCCUGGUUUUGCACCUUUAAGAAACUCAUUUUUUAAAUCUGAUGAAUAUAUGUCCAUAAGAAGCUUUACUUGGUUAAAAUUAAAUACAUACAAAAUUGACAGAAAAAUUAUUUUGUCAAAGAAAAAUGAACGAAGAGUAGUGUCAUUUUUCAUUGUCACAUUCAUUUCUCUAAGAAAUGGAUCUGUCCUUCAACAUCUCCUCCUAGCCCAUACUGUUUGAAUAUAGAGGGCUCUUGGGCCAUGGUCCGGGGAUUAUUUAUAAUCAGCAACAAGGGGUUACAGUGUCAUGGCUUACAAUUUGGUGGGGUGGGACCAGGGACUAGUUGGAGUUUUUUGUUUUGGUCGUCAUAAUUUAUUUGAAGCAGGGAGCUUGGCUCUCCACCCUUUGUACUUAUUAGUCCACCAAACAUCUGCCCAGUCACCACUGGGACUUUUAACACUCCAUACUUAUACAUGCUUGAUUUUUUGUGGUAUAGACAUAGACACUUAUCAACAUGGGCUAGCUUCUUUUGACCUUGCUCAUCUCCAUACGGGAUGACUGAACAGGCAUCAAACUGAAGGGUUAAAAAAUGACUAGCCUGAGUUACACUGAUGACAAGAUGACCUUCUGUUGAAAAGAAAAAAGAGAAUAAAUAAGUGAUUAUUAAGCUCUUUUUAGAGUUAAUUUGGUGGGGGUGGGCUGUGGAGUGACAGUUCAUGAUUCUGGAGGUGGCGGCACCUUCUUGACUCGGGUGUGAUGAGUCCAUCCUCUUUCUGUUGUCCAGACUGCAGUCUCAGUACAUAGGAGCACUAGGUAGGGUCCUUCCCAGGCUGGUUCGAGCUUCCUUUUCUUCUACCCUUGGAUGAGAACAUGGUCUCAAGGCCAAUGCUGAUGUUCUGGAAACUCCAGGGGUGAUGCCUGUGCUAGGAGACCUUUAGUCCCAAGGGAAAAGAAGGUAGAGCCUAGACCAAGUAUAUAAUUUUUGAGGAAAUGAUCCUUUGUUUCAAACAUAGGGAUGUCAGCAAUGGAGUGUAAGUAGGGCAUUCCAUAGAGCGUUUCCUCAGGUGACAGGCCAAUAUCUUUCCAAGGGGCAGUCCGGAUUCUUAACCAAGCAAUAGGAGUAUAUUUAGUCCAUGGCAAUCGAGUUUCUAAAACUAAGUUAAGUGGUUUAUUAGAGUCUGAUUCAUCCACUCUACUCUUCCUGUGGAGGAUGGAUGCCAAGGAGUAUGGUAUUCCCAAUGUAUAUCUAGUACCUGUGCUAACUUCUUAAUGACAUGCACAGUGAAAUGGGUUGCAGUAUCUGAAUCAGUAUUUUCUAUUAGUUCAAAUCUGGGUAUGAUGUUUUCAAUUAGCGCUUUAACUACAUUACUGGAGGUUGCACGUGAGAAUGGGAUUGCCUCUACCCAGUGGGUAAAAUGGUCUAUUAUUACUAAUAAGUAUAACUACCAAUUGGAGGCAUUUCAGUGUAAUUGAUCUGAACACUUUGAAAUGGUCUCAGUGCUGGAUUUCUUCCACCAAGGCGCAAUUUCCUUAGAUCCUGCUUAUUAGCUUUUUUUACAUGUUAAGCAACUAUCUAUAACUUGUUUGGCCAGGGUGUAAAUUCUUAUACACCCAUAAACCCGGAGAACUGCAUUGCACAUUGCUUGGGGUCCCCAAUGGGUCCCUUGAUGUAAUUGAGACAAGACUUCCCUCAUGAGAGGUUUUGACAACAUUUCCCUUUGAUCUGAUAAUAUCCAUUUCCUAUCCGCAUUUUCUUUAGCUCCUAUUUUUAUCAACGUCUUUUGUUCAAUGGAAGAGAAAACGGGUUACAGUAGGAGGAGGGCAUGGAGUUAAAUGGAAGAAAUGGCAACUUGUUUUGCUAUUUUAUUGUAACCGACUGAGUUAUAGAGAGAAUGCCACAGUCUGAGACUAAUUCAGUGAUCCUUUAUUGCCAGCAACCGAGAGACGGCUAGAGCUCAAAAUUCUCUCAGCCCCGAAGAAGGGGCUACACAUCUUUUUACACCUUGGUCUAAAGAGGGGAGGAGGAGUGUAGCUGAAGCAAUUUUUUACAGAAGCAGAACAGGCAAAAAAGUUGAAAGAUAAAUGGUUACAGAAACAGUAAUAAGAAAAUAAACAGUUCCAGGUGCAGGGGCUUAAAUUAUCACAAAGUGAUAAACGCAAAGGCUUUGGGCACCGUCAACCGAGUGCGUUCCCAGGAGCUGCUGGUACAGCUUGCCUCAGUAUCUUAUCAGUAAGCGCAUUCUUGGAUGUGCUUGGAGUCAGCUUGCACCAGUUAUGUCCUUAAGGGAGGGGGACAAGGGGCUGCAAGUGAAGAAACCAAAAUGGAGUCUGUCCAGCUCUCUCAGCUAAGAGAGAGUCAAUCAGGUUAAAAGAAGUUAGGGUAUCACAUUUCCCACUCGUGUUUGGGGGAAUCAGAUCAUUGAUUCCUCGGUUAUAACAAGGGUGUUAUAUUGGGUUCUAAGAUACAUAAGAUUGACAGAAGCUAUGCGUUGCUUUACAAAAUUAAGAAACCAAUUUAAUAUACAAGGCCUGAAGACUAACCCUAACAAGAGGAGGAGAAGGGGGUCCCGCCAACCCAGUAAUUAGAGUAGUUAGCCAGGGAUUCCAGUUAAACAUGCUUUGGUACUUUGGUACUCCAGGAAUGAGAAAGGUGGUGUUACUUUCUUGUUCCUUCUGGCAUCUAUCUAGAUUUUCUCGAACUCUUUGAAGAGUAUUUUUUAUGACUCCAGACUGAUUGGCAUAGAAACAACAACUUUCUUCUAGAGCUGUGCAUAAACCUCCUUGGGAGAUAAAUAGCAGAUCUAAGCCUCGGCGGUUUUGAAGAACUACUUCAGCUAGAGACUCUACCUGGGCAUGUAGUAUAUUUAUGGCUGAUUGGAGAUUGCUUAAAUCAGCAUCUACCUGUUGAGAUAGUGAUAUUAGUCCAGUUUCUCCUUGAAUCAGGGCAGUCGUGCCAAUAGCUGCUGACGUAGCUAUGCUAAGGCCAGCUAGAAGGGGUACAAGGAGUAGGGCAGCUCGGUGAAACCUGAAAUGCAAUUCAGGGGGAGCAAUGAGAAGUUGUCCUUCUGGCCCACUGUACAUGUAGAUCUGGGGGAGUACAUGAAUCAACAUGCAUAGGAGAGGUCCAGGUUCAGUCCCAUUGAUGCAGCGAGUGAGGCCUGAAAUGCAGGCCAACCAGGUAUUUUUGGGUGCCUGGUAGGAGACUGAGGGGUUUAAGGAAGUAAGGAGAGACUCACUACAAGUAGCCUGAAAGGGAGAAGCAGGUAAGUUAUACCUUGCGCUAAUUAGACAGAAGGCAUUCCCUGACACAUCUCCUAGUGUAAGGGCAUGGGGGCACGUAUGACAAGAAAGAGAGUCCAUUUUGAGCAUGGCUUCUACUCCUAAUCCAACAUAAUAUGGGGGUUUGGCCUUUCGGCACAACCAGCAAUCUCAGGCUAGUUUAGGCUUGGUGAGAUUAAGGAGGUGAUGUAUCCCGUCCAAAAUGGACAUCGGGCUGGGUUGGAGGUAUUGUCAUUGCAGCUGGGGUCUCAGAACCAGGAAUGGCAGUGGGACAGUUAAAUCGACUCUCUCUGGGUGUUUUUGGAACAUAGGGUCACCUAAAUCAGUUAAAGUUCUGAUUGGCUUCAUGGGACCAGGAAUUUUUUCUGGAUGGUGAACAUAGUUCCAACAUCAAAUCCUGAAAUAUAAAGCCUUAAUCCCUAUGACAUGCUGUAAUACCAUUGAGUUAAACUAGGGUUACGGAGAGUUAUAGUAAGAGGAUUACAAUUUCCUAUAGUACACGGCUUAGGAUGGGAAGCACAAGCUAUGGAAAGGGUUGAGGAUCAGGUUCAUCCUCCAGAGUAAGUGGCCAAGGUUACACACAUGCAGUAAGGGCAGAAAAACUGGUAAGAAUCUCGACAACUAGAGUCAGGGCGAUUUCCAGGACAAAGGUAAAAGUCAACGCUCUGGAGCCUUUUUUCUGCACCCUUAGAACUUCCACAUCCAGUUUGGCUUCUGGUGUGUCCGAACCCUGCAGCAAGGUCAGCGUUCCCUGCUCUCAUGAUCGGCAGAUUGCAUUGCUCUUCAAGGGUAUGGGCAGGGUCGGGGAACAAAGCACAUAAACCGACUACAAAAGAGACUUCCUUGGAGGGUCCCACCUUCCAAGUGGUGUUUGCAAACACACAUCCUGUCAUGAAGGAAGUGAGGAGAAAAGAGUAGGAAGGGGCAGAGGACAUAACAGGUGGAAACAGACAGAAGAGGUAAAUAAAAAGAAUUAAUUCGAUAGCUUUACUCAACUUAGGCGCAGUUUUAAGGGGCCUGGCCUAGGCUUGGGGACCCAUUUUUUUUGCUGGGCUUUGUUGGCCUUUUUGAUGCGAGAAUGAUGAAUCCAAGCAGGAGUGCCGUCCACCUUCAGAGCUGUUGGUGUGGUGAGGAUGACAGUAUGAGGUCCUUUCCAGGCAGGAGUCAGUCCUUUUUUCUGGAACUUUUUAACAUACACUAGGUCACCCAGCUGGAAAGAGUGGCAGGGCCCAGUCUGGUCAGGAACUGGGCUGGGGUGUGCUCCCCUGACAAGCAGCUGGAUGAUGUCUUGUACCCGUUGGAGAGACUGCAGGUACUGUAACAAGUUAGCUUGUGAGAUUUCUGCUAAAUGGGUAUCCUUUAGCUUAGGCAAGAUAGGCGGAGCCCUUCCAUACAUGAUUUCAAAAGGUGAAAACCCAGCCUGGUAAGGGGUGCAUCUUACUCUAAGAAGGGCUAAAGGAAGGAGCUUUACCUAGUUUUCACUGGUUUCUAGGAUUAAUUUUGCAAGAGUACUUUUUAGGAUGGGGUUCAUGCAUUCUACUUGUCCAGAGCUCUGGGGUCGAUAGGCACAAUGGAGUUUCCAUUGAAUGUUUAAUGCCUUGCUGACCGACUGAGCUAUGGACGAGGUGAAGGCUGGUCCAUUAUCAGACCUUAUUACAACAGGCAGUCCAUGUUGAGGGAUGAUUUCAUUGAGUAAAAGCUUAACUACCGUGGUAGCAGUUUCGUUUUUGGUGGCAAAUGCCUCAGUCCAUCCAGAAAAGGUGUCUACUAGCACCAGGAGGUAUUUAUACCCUGCCAAGUGUGGUUUUACCUCUGUAAAGUCAAUUUCCCACCUUCCUCCUGGCAAGCCUCCCUGGAGGCGGUGGCCUGGGCUGGGCUUAGGACCUUGCUUGGUGUUUACUUGGGCACAAGCCGUUUACUGGAGAGCUGCUUGGUUAGUUAAGUCCUGAAGGUGGGGGAUCUUGAAAUGGCUCCUUAGAAGCUGGGCCAGUUUUACUCCUCCUAAAUGGGUGGUAGAAUGUAGAUGAUUGAUAAAAGUUUCCCCAAGGGCUUGGGGCAUGAAGAUUCUGGAAUCAGGAAGAAUUCACCAACCUUCCUGAUUUUUACUGGCUUGAAGAUCCGAAGCUUGUUUUUCUUCCUCUGGGGAGUAUUCUGGGUAGUCUGCCCAGUCAGUUGUGGAAAGGACACAGAGGGCAGCAGGGUUAAAGGCACGACCAGGAGCUGAGCUGCCUCUCAAGCUGCAGAGUCUGCUCUUUGGUUACCACGAGCAAUGGCCAUGUCUUCUCUUUGAUGUCCUUUGCAGUGAAUUGCAGCCACCUGUUGAGGGAGCCAAACAGCUUCAAGCAGGGCUAAAAUUUCUUCUUUGUUGUUGACACUCUUUCCUGCUGAGGUAGGAAAUGCUGGGAAGAAAAAGCUGGGCCUUCUUGGCUGGGACCUGAUACCCGAAUUCCUGAAGGAGGUAAAGUAGGUCCGUAGUAUGUUGCAGGCAGCUGUCAGUAGUUUCAGUAGCCAAUAACAGGUCGUCUACAUACUGGAGAAGAGUGCAGUUAGGGUGACUGGCUCAGAAUGGUAAAAGAUCCUGUUGGAGGGCUUCCCUAAAAAGGGUGGGGGAAUUUUUAAAACUUCGGGGUAACCAAGUCCAGGUUAAUUGGGUGGUGUCUACCGAGCCAGGAUAUGUCUGUUCAAAAGCAAAGAUAGGUUGACUUUUGGGGCCAGAGGAAUAGCAAAAAAAAGCAUCCUUGAAGUCAAGGACAGUGUACACCAUAUGUUCUGGUGGGAGCAGGCUGAGUAAAGUAUAAGGGUUAGAGACAGUUGGAUGGACAGUGACUGUCUGCUUGUUACCUUCCUGCAAGUCCUGUACAGGCUGGUAAUCAUUUGUUCCGGGUUUCUGGACCGGCAAAAAUGGAAUAUUCCAGGCGAUCUCACAUGGUAUAUGGUCCCUCUCUUCAGAGGUGAAAAGGGAUGAAAGGAGUUGCUGACACUCAUCCCAGGUGGGCCGGUGAGUCUGGAGCACAGACUCCAUCAGUGAGGUUAAGACCUGGGGCUUUUCAGAAAAGGGGGGAUUAUGAGCCUUCCAGUUGUACAGGUCAGAAGUAGAGAAGGGGACAUAAACUAAAAAUGGAGCACAACGCCCACUGCCCAAAGGGAUUUGGGCCUCUGUCAGUGGGAGGAGCGGGGCCACCUCCUCCGGCUGAGGCCAUAAUUGGGAGGAUAUAGGCAGAGAGGCCACAGAGGAUGUAGUUGAGGAGACAAGGGAAGAUUCUGGGGGAGGAGGAGGGUUAUAGGGUGGUGGAAAUGGGUGAAGAAAACUUUCCUCUUCUUCAGAAGGAGGCAGUACAGGAGGAAUCGAGGGAGCUGAGGGUGGAGGCAAAAGUGAGGUCUGGCUAAAAAGGACCUUGGAGGUAGGAUCACGAAUGGCUACAGAGUUUUAUCACGAGUGGAGCCAUGAAGGAGAGCUCUGGACUAAAUCUAGCCAUUGAUCAAUGUAGGGAAACUGAUCGGGGUGACCGGGAGUUCCAACAACGACCCACCACACAGCCUGAACAGCUGUGAAGUGUAGUGACCCGUCUGGGGGCCACCCAGUUCCAAACUUUGGCCAUUCUACUUCGCAGAGUGUCCAGAGUUUGCCUUUUUUAAGGCGGACCCCGUAAUCAUCUGAGAAGCCUAGAGAGAAAUUCUGCAACAUACACUGGAGAGGACUCCAAUCUUUAUGGGGCCGGGAAGAAGAGUUUACUAUUCUGGAGGCAAUUAACAAGGUUUGAACAAAAAUAUUAAACCCAGCAUGGACAAAGAUAUUCACGGCCUGGGAGGCUAUGGUAUCAGAAGAACAGAAGUAUUAUAGCUAGAAGAAGUAGGAAAACAACUAUAGCCAAUAUUUCUUGCCACAUAAGGUCUGUCUCCUCAAGCUUCGAGAUCUAUGGAGAGGAUAAGAGGUGGGUCCAAGGGAUCCUCAGCCAGUGGGACUUAGGUGACCCCCCCUUCUUGACUUAUAUCCCAAAUAACUUUGGUGUCUCCACGACUCGAAAGCAAAAUGUUCAAACUCGGUCCUUUCCUUCACGGGUUUAAGGAGGGAGAACACAGCCAAGUCUUAGAGACGCUGGACUUGCUGCAACACAGGAAAAUGAGAUGUGCAGGGUAAGGGAUGGGGAUGAGGAGGAAAGGGGCCACUUGGAUUUCCCUAAAGGUUGGAGAGUAGCCAAAAGAGGUAAAAUAAGAGUCCAGACAGAGUAGAGCAGUAUGGGUGUAGGUUUCUCUGCACAGUGCCUUAUUUAAGGGCAUGGGAAAAGUUAUGGGAUGACAGAAAAGGUGAGUAAGGAGGUCAGCAGGGUGGCUAUUUUGGAUCCACCACUGGUCUAAGGAGAAGGUGGACCAGUCGUUGGGGCGUGGGGUAUGGCAAUCCAAACGCCAGCAAUCUUUAUGGUGCCAGAAAUCCUAAACGGGUGAAUGUCUUCCACACCCUUCCCCAUAACAACACCUAAUUUGUUUCUGACAGGAAAGGCAGGACUGGGAUGGCCAGCCCAACCGACUAAUGAGGAAUUUGACCUCCUGGGAUAGAAAAUCUGUACUAAGGACCUUGAAGAAGUCCUUGCCCAGUCAUUUUGGGCAGUAUCGACGAUCCGACAUAUGAAAUUUAGACAGACACUAAACAGGACAAUAGGCACUGGGGUAUAUAAACAAGCAUGGCAAUUUUUAUAGACAGACAAGGGGAGGGGGUCCCGUGAUGGGAUCAGUCAGAUGCCCUCCUGGCUGCUCCCCUUUCGGGGACUUAGGCUCCUCUUGGCAUUGGCAGGCUGGUAUAAACCCCUGGCUUGGAUCGAGCUAUGCCUGAUGCCGCCCUAAGCCUUAUGAGGUCACCACGGAACCACAGGUGAGGGCCUUCUCGAAUUCCCUAGCUUUCACCCUGGAGCUACAAACUGGAAAUUCAAGCGCAAGCCCUUGAACUCCACAUUCACUCACUCACUCACUCACUCAGAGUUUAUUACAAUUUUUAUACCCAUUCUAAAACAGAGAUCUCCCGGAGACCUGAAUGAGAGAGGGAGAAGAGAUAGAGAGAGAGAGAGACUAGACUUAACAGAGAAUCCUGACAGAAACCAGGACUCUGUCCUCCAGUGUCCUGGAGCAUGGACAGAGUCUGAGGGAGGACCUUCGUCAGGGCCGUUUCCCUCCCAGAGAGACAGAGUCAGAUCUGACUUACCUUCCCGGGACUAGAGACUGAGGACUCAGGAGUUGAAUUUGGCUGGGCGCACCGGCAGUCGAUCCGUUCCCCUCCAGAAGACAGUGGCCUGUGGAGCCCUGGAACGUCUUCAGGUGGCCCUGUAAGCCAGCUGUCUGUCUGGGGAAGCCCGGAAUGAGUCAGGUCUUCACCCGGUGGCGAAUCUCUCUGGGGCUUCCAAAUGUCGUAACCGAGCAAGUCAUAGAGAGAAUGCCACACUCUGAGACUAAUUCAGGAGUCCUUUAUUGCUGGCGACUGAGAAAGAGCUAGAGCUUGAAAUUCUCUCGGUCCGGAAGAAGAGGCUAGAGUUCUUUUUAUACCUUGGCCUAAAGAGGGGAGGGGGAGUCUAGCUGAAGCAAUUUUUUACAGAAGCAGAACAGGAAAAAAUUAAAAGAUAAAUGGUUACAGAAACAGUUACAGGAAAAUAAACAGUUCCAGGUGCAGGGGCUUAAAGUAUCCCAAAGUGAUAAAAGCAGGGGCUUUGGAUACCACCAACCAAGUGUGCUCCCAGGAGCUGCUGGUACAGCUUGCCUCAGUAUCUUAUCAAUAAGCGCAUUCUUGGAUGUGCUUGGAGUCAGCUUGCACCAGUUAUGUCCUUAAGGAGGGGGACAAGGGGCUGCAAGCGAAGAAACCAAGCUAAGACUCUCUCAGCUAUUGACUCUCUCGAUAUUGACUCUCAAUUGAGUCUCCCAAGCUAUUGACUCUCUCAGCUAAGAAAGAGUCAAUCAGGAUAAAACAAGAUAGGGUAUCACAAUUUGAUCUGCAAGAUUAUUUCCUGGACUUGUGAAAGGCGAGUCGUUUUGGUGCCCUGGGACAUGUACAAUAGCUAUCUCUUCUGGCAAUUGGAGAUUGUUGAGGACACGAGCAUCAGUUCUCUAUGAACUAAAUCUUGGCCUCUACUAUUGAUAAGAGCCCUCUCCAUCCAAAUUUUCCCAAAUGUGUGUGCCUCCCCAGAGGGAUACUUAGAGUCAGUAUAGAUAGAUUUUCUUGGUUUUGUAAAUGUCCUAAAGCUUGGCUGAGUGCAAACAGUUCACACCCUUGGACAGACCAAUUAUUAGACCCCCUUCCUGAUUUUACUUUUUUAACAGUCUUUCCAUUAAUCACUGAAUACCUAUUAUGUCUCUUUCUUUUAAUCACCUGGGAGGUUCCAUCUAUGAAUAAGUGCCACCCUGUCUUGAAGGGAGUUUUUCCUAAGUCUGGUUGAACUUUCGUAUGGUAAUUAAUUCGAUUUAAACACGCGUGCUCUCUCGUUUUACGUUUGGAUCCCCCGUUAAAGAGCCUGCUGAAUAAAGUGAAUUAUUAGUACUUAAUAUUAAAUCACCUUUUUCCCAGAAAGAUAGCCUCAUAUUUUAAAAUUUUUGAGUUGGUAAUCUCCCUCCUUGCGUUUUGAUUUAAUAUAGUUUUAACUUGGUGGGUUGUGGCCUGAAGCGGCUGGGGAGUAACUUGAAACCUCAGCUGAAGGGACAGCACAGGCUGGGGCGUGGCCUGAAACAGCUGGGGAGUAACCUGAAACCACAGCCGGAGGGACCUGAGAGGGGAACCAAAGGGGCAGGAUUGGGGGCGCUGAAGGAAGGAAGGUGAUUUAGAGGAUCCCAUGUCUUGGUAGGUAUGGGUUGUCUAGGCAUGGGAACUCUUUCCUUUUUAGAAAGGUUGGUUUCUGAUUUUCUCCCUCCAGAGUCUAAAGGGUAAAGGAGAACUGGUCCCUGCCGCCAGCAGAGGGCGUAAUCGAUUUUUCCUGGGACACAGGGCUCUUACUGUUAACAUAUUUGAUUAACAGCUGACAAAUUCGCUCUUCAUUAGACUUAAAUUUUGGCCAGAAAAGUGAGGGCUUAAGGAUGGGUUCUCGAACUUAAAUAAAACAACAAUAUUCUAUCAUCUGCUGUUUUUGUUUAUACUUGGUUCUCUUAUUAUUUUUUCAAUACUUUAGCAUAAGCCCCAAGGGGCUAUCAGAAGGAAAUUCAUCACUCUCUAGACUCUUUAGUUUUCCUGUCUUACUUGAAACGUUCCCCAUCUUAGGGAUUAUGGGGAGGAGGCCCAACCCCUCCUGUGAGAUUUCUACCCUCCCCCUUCCUGGAGGCUUACUGAGGCUUUGGGGAAAGGCUCCAACCCAACCUGUUUGGAUUUCUACCCUCCCCCUUCCUCUUUGUCUACUCUGUCUGUUCCUGACUCUAGUUGACAGAUGGCAGCAUGAGGCCAUAGAGAAGACUCACUCACUCCACAUAACCACCAUACUAAGUCCCAUUCAUACACUGUCAGCCUCCAGCUUAUCCCAACCACCUGGGAAAUACUUUGUCACCUUCGCCAAGUCUCCUACCUUAUUCCAUGCACAAGAAUUUCCUGGUCCUCUUAUUGUUGCGGUCUUGCAAGCUUCUCCUCCCCGCUUUGCUGAGAUCCAGACUUAUUUGUCACAAAGCGGGGGGGGGGCCCUGAUCUCCCUCAACCUAGGGGCACGGUAACUAGACAGUAGGAUGCGUCCCCUCCGGGUGGGGUGACCGAAGGCCCCCUUCCCAAAGGAGAAGAUUCGAGCCCCAAAGUUGGGCUCCAGAACUGUUAGGAAUAACGCUCAAAAUCUUAAGGAAAUUGAACACUUGAACAAAGGAUUCUUAGCAAAGCAAUUUUACUUCUGCGCAGAGAGGUGCCUCCUUGUCCAGUCGCCAUGAGAGCACACCUGAAAAAGGGGCACGAGAGCCUUUACUCCUGACACAAGUACUGCCCCUGUACCCUUUCUCCAUUGGCCAGGGUCAGGUCGUACAAUCUAAACUAAUCCUGGUUGGCUAAACAUUGGAUUUUUUUUAGAUAAGGUGGGCACGUAAAAAAGGCAGAGAAUAAAGGGGAAGGGGUGUCUGUAAUGAGCUAAAAAGUUAGUCCUCUUUCCAAAUAAGGAAAGGAAUGUGAGCAGGUACAGAUACCACCUGGUACUGUGGCAUGCCUGGGCAUGUAACAAAGGAAAAAAGAGAAAAAAGGAGAAAAAGGAAAAAAGGUGGAGGGAUUA